This 1369-nucleotide ribosomal RNA is filed under the name uncultured bacterium. Its description in RNAcentral is "bacterial SSU rRNA". It matches the Rfam family "Bacterial small subunit ribosomal RNA", at positions 28 to 1381 of the family's 1533-position model. The record is from RNAcentral.
GACGAAUUCUGGCGGCGUGCCUAAUACAUGCAAGUAGAACGCUGAAGAGAGGAGCUUGCUCUUCUUGGAUGAGUUGCGAACGGGUGAGUAACGCGUAGGUAACCUGCCUUGUAGCGGGGGAUAACUAUUGGAAACGAUAGCUAAUACCGCAUAACAAUGGAUGACACAUGUCAUUUAUUUGAAAGGGGCAAUUGCUCCACUACAAGAUGGACCUGCGUUGUAUUAGCUAGUAGGUGAGGUAACGGCUCACCUAGGCGACGAUACAUAGCCGACCUGAGAGGGUGAUCGGCCACACUGGGACUGAGACACGGCCCAGACUCCUACGGGAGGCAGCAGUAGGGAAUCUUCGGCAAUGGGGGCAACCCUGACCGAGCAACGCCGCGUGAGUGAAGAAGGUUUUCGGAUCGUAAAGCUCUGUUGUAAGUCAAGAACGAGUGUGAGAGUGGAAAGUUCACACUGUGACGGUAGCUUACCAGAAAGGGACGGCUAACUACGUGCCAGCAGCCGCGGUAAUACGUAGGUCCCGAGCGUUGUCCGGAUUUAUUGGGCGUAAAGCGAGCGCAGGCGGUUUGAUAAGUCUGAAGUUAAAGGCUGUGGCUCAACCAUAGUUCGCUUUGGAAACUGUCAAACUUGAGUGCAGAAGGGGAGAGUGGAAUUCCAUGUGUAGCGGUGAAAUGCGUAGAUAUAUGGAGGAACACCGGUGGCGAAAGCGGCUCUCUGGUCUGUAACUGACGCUGAGGCUCGAAAGCGUGGAGAGCGAACAGGAUUAGAUACCCUGGUAGUCCACGCCGUAAACGAUGAGUGCUAGGUGUUGGAUCCUUUCCGGGAUUCAGUGCCGCAGCUAACGCAUUAAGCACUCCGCCUGGGGAGUACGACCGCAAGGUUGAAACUCAAAGGAAUUGACGGGGGCCCGCACAAGCGGUGGAGCAUGUGGUUUAAUUCGAAGCAACGCGAAGAACCUUACCAGGUCUUGACAUCCCGAUGCUAUUUCUAGAGAUAGAAAGUUACUUCGGUACAUCGGUGACAGGUGGUGCAUGGUUGUCGUCAGCUCGUGUCGUGAGAUGUUGGGUUAAGUCCCGCAACGAGCGCAACCCCUAUUGUUAGUUGCCAUCAUUCAGUUGGGCACUCUAGCGAGACUGCCGGUAAUAAACCGGAGGAAGGUGGGGAUGACGUCAAAUCAUCAUGCCCCUUAUGACCUGGGCUACACACGUGCUACAAUGGUUGGUACAACGAGUUGCGAGUCGGUGACGGCAAGCUAAUCUCUUAAAGCCAAUCUCAGUUCGGAUUGUAGGCUGCAACUCGCCUACAUGAAGUCGGAAUCGCUAGUAAUCGCGGAUCAGCACGCCGCGGUGAAUACGUUCCCGGGCCU